RNAcentral lists this ribosomal RNA (1305 nucleotides) under seawater metagenome. Its description in RNAcentral is "bacterial LSU rRNA". It matches the Rfam family "Bacterial large subunit ribosomal RNA", at positions 671 to 1973 of the family's 2925-position model. The record is from RNAcentral.
GGGAAACCGAGUCUGAAUAGGGCGAUAGUUGCAGGGUGUAGACCCGAAACCGGAUGAGCUAUCCAUGGCCAGGAUGAAGGUGCAGUAACAUGCACUGGAGGUCCGAACCGACUAAUGUUGCAAAAUUAGCGGAUGAGCUGUGGAUAGGGGUGAAAGGCUAAACAAAUCCGGAGAUAGCUGGUUCUCCUCGAAAACUAUUUAGGUAGUGCCUCGUGGUUAACACUUCUUGGGGUAGAGCACUGUUAUGGCUAGGGGGUUAUUGCAACUUACCAAACCAUGGCAAACUCCGAAUACGAGAAAGUGAUACACGGGAGACAGACAUCUGGUGCUAACGUCAGGUGUCGAAAGGGAAACAACCCAGACCGCCAGCUAAGGUCCCAAAUGAUCAAUUAAGUGGUAAACGAUGUGGGAAGGCAUAGACAGCUAGGAUGUUGGCUUAGAAGCAGCCAUCAUUUAAAGAAAGCGUAAUAGCUCACUAGUCAAGUCGUCCUGCGCGGAAGAUGUAACGGGGCUAAAUUGAUAACCGAAGCUGCGGAUAGAACUUAGGUUCUAUGGUAGAGGAGCGUUCUGUAGGCCAAUGAAGGUGUCUUGAGAAGGAUGCUGGAGGUAUCAGAAGUGCGAAUGCUGACAUGAGUAGCGUUAAAGCGGGUGAAAAGCCCGCUCGCCGAAAGUCCAAGGUUUCCUACGCAACGUUAAUCGGCGUAGGGUGAGUCGGCCCCUAAGGUGAGGCAGAGAUGCGUAGCCGAUGGGAAACAGGUUAAUAUUCCUGUACCGAUGUAUAGUGCGAUGUGGGGACGGAGAAGGUUAGGUUAGCCAACUGUUGGAAAUGUUGGUUUAAGCGUGAAGGUGUGUAUCUUAGGCAAAUCCGGGAUACUAUAACACUGAGGCGUGAUGACGAGGUGCUACGGCACUGAAGUAAUUGAUACCAUGCUUCCAGGAAAAGCCACUAAGCUUCAGCUAUAUAUUGACCGUACCGCAAACCGACACUGGUGGACGAGAUGAGUAUUCUAAGGCGCUUGAGAGAACUCUGGAGAAGGAACUCGGCAAAUUGAUACCGUAACUUCGGGAGAAGGUAUGCCCCAAGUAGGUGAACCUGUACAAGGCGAGCCCAAAGGGGUUGCAAAAAAUCGGUGGCUGCGACUGUUUAAUAAAAACACAGCACUCUGCAAACACGAAAGUGGACGUAUAGGGUGUGACGCCUGCCCGGUGCUGGAAGAUUAAAUGAUGGGGUGCAAGCUCUUGAUUGAAGUCCCAGUAAACGGCGGCCGUAACUAUAACGGUCCUAAGGUAGCGAAAUUCCUUGUC